RNAcentral lists this ribosomal RNA (408 nucleotides) under uncultured bacterium. Its description in RNAcentral is "partial 16S ribosomal RNA". It matches the Rfam family "Bacterial small subunit ribosomal RNA", at positions 29 to 526 of the family's 1533-position model. The record is from RNAcentral.
AGUGAACGCUGGCGGCGUGCCUAAUACAUGCAAGUCGAACGGAGUGGCGAACGGGUGAGUAAUGUAUAGCUAAUCUGCCCUACACUAGAGGACAAAAGAUGGAAACGACUGCUAAUACUCUAUAGUGUAGGAUGAGGCUAUAUUGUAUCAGCUAGUUGGUGAGGUAAUGGCUCACAAAGGCGAUGACGCAUAACUGGUCUGAGCGGAUGAUCAGUCACACGGGAACUGAUACACCGUCCAGACUCCUACUGGAGGCAGCAGUAGGUAAUAUUGCUCAAUGGGGGAAACCCUGAAGCAGCAGCGGCGCGUGAAGUAUGACACUUUUCGGAGCGUAAACUCCUUUUGUUAGGGAAGCGGUACCUAACGAAUAAGCACCGGCUAACUCCGUGCCAGCAGCCGCGGUAAUUC